RNAcentral lists this ribosomal RNA (368 nucleotides) under uncultured organism. Its description in RNAcentral is "bacterial SSU rRNA". It matches the Rfam family "Bacterial small subunit ribosomal RNA", at positions 526 to 896 of the family's 1533-position model. The record is from RNAcentral.
CGGAGGAUCCAAGCGUUAUCCGGAUUCAUUGGGUUUAAAGGGUGCGUAGGCGGAAUGAUAAGUCAGUGGUGAAAUCCCUUCGCUUAACGAAGGAACUGCCAUUGAUACUGUCAAUCUUGAGUACAUUUGAUGUGGGCGGAAUGUGUCAUGUAGCGGUGAAAUGCUUAGAUAUGACACAGAACACCGAUUGCGAAGGCAGCUCACAAAACUGUAACUGACGCUGAGGCACGAAAGCGUGGGUAUCAAACAGGAUUAGAUACCCUGGUAGUCCACGCUGUAAACCAUGAUUACUCGAUGUUUGCGAUACUCUGUAAGCGUCUAAGCGAAAGCGAUAAGUAAUCCACCUGGGGAGUACGCUCGCAAGAGUG